GACUGACUUGAUAAAAAAAUGACAGCCGUCGGACACACACACGCACACGCCGUCGCCACACACACCACUGACACACUCUCUCAUCUUGCUCCCGGACAAGCAGCGCCUCCGCCCUCCCCACUGCAUCCCGCCGCCGGCACAGGGACCCUCCCUUGCUGCGCGCUGCUUCGGCAGGGACUGCCCCUCUGCCUCCCCACUCCCCAUGGCUGCUGAGACGGCCGCCCUUCUCUUGCCUCUCCACCUCCGUCCGCGGAGGCGCAGACUUCCUCUCCACCAGAUCCUCGGUCGUGGACUCGACAUGAGAGCUGGAGGGCUCCCCUACGCCUACCUCCUCCUCCCGUGGGACAAGACGCAGAAUCGGAGCAAGCGCCGAGGAGCGCCGGCUAGGACGCCGUGCUCCGAUGGGUUGGGCGUGUUGCGAGCCUCACCGUGGCCAAGUACCACAUGCUCCAGAGUGGAUGGUCGAUGCCCUCCCCACCUGGCCACCUCACGCGUGACUGGUAUUUCGUCAUCCUGCCUCUGCUCGAUUCGGCUCCGUCCGAUGGCGGUGCUUGCGCCUUGACGCCGCGCCUCGCACGAUGGCCGCCAGAAGCCUAUGCCUUGGCCGCUUUAGCUAUUGUGCGUAAGCGUGAUCUAAUAAUCAGAAAUGUUUUGAUGUAAUCCAUUGCUCAUGCAAUUCUAUAGUCUGUGGAAACUGCUCUUUUACACUGGUACAAUUGCAGUCUUAAGUUGGAACUUAUUUGUAGUUUAUUCAGUGACUACAUAAUAUCUCUAUAUAAUGCCAUACCAAUAAGGCAUAUUUGAUUAGUCUUGCUUGGUCUGAACAUUCUUAAAUGUAAUUCAGGAUGCUCUAGCUAAUCUUUUUUCUCAUUUCUGACAAGAUGCAUUGUUGUUUAUCUGAACAACAGUUUCGUGGCAUGAAAAAGAACAUAUAUAUAACAAUGCAUUCCAUGGGGCUGCAGUACUGGAAAAUUUCCUGAUCGUUGAGGCAACCAACAUGGAUUUGCAUAGCUUCUGUAACUCAAAUGAAUGCUAUGUAAAUAAUAUUUUUUUCGUCUAACUAUUAUCAAAAUGCAUGCAGGUUUAGCUCUGACAGAAUCAAGUCAAUCAACUACGGGACAUAUUUUUGUGUACACUUCUUGUGCAUAUGUGAAGGGAAGCAAGCUUGGAUUCACUGGAUGAUGUAUACACACCAAGUGCACCUCGCUUUCAUAAUAGCAAGCAACCUCAUAUUGAGAUUCUUCUAAUUACGGUACUCCUAAUAAUUGAAUAUGUGGGGAGAGUCAGUGUUCCAUGAAACCAGAUUGCUUUCCUUGCUACAGAGUAUGAGCCACCUAGGUUUGUUUCCCGUCAGCUAACUUCCUACACCAAGCCGGCGGCUUGAUGUUGAGGUAAAGUCUUAAAGAAAAUUCUGAUCGAAGUUUGUACCUGAUCAAAGUUUGCUGGCUUGGUGGCGAGGGCGUCAACAUGGCGACGGCGGUAGCCCGCGCUCGCA
Molecule: long non-coding RNA, 1495 nt
Organism: Triticum aestivum (bread wheat)
Lineage: Eukaryota; Viridiplantae; Streptophyta; Magnoliopsida; Poales; Poaceae
Exons: 3
Source: RefSeq, a predicted model, not a curated record